Molecule: ribosomal RNA, 468 nt
Filed under: uncultured bacterium
Lineage: Bacteria
Description: partial 16S ribosomal RNA
Rfam family: Bacterial small subunit ribosomal RNA
Source: RNAcentral
GACGAACGCUGGCGGCGUGCUUAACACAUGCAAGUCGAACGGAAAGGCCCUGCUUUUGUGGGGUGCUCGAGUGGCGAACGGGUGAGUAACACGUGAGUAACCUGCCCUUGACUUUGGGAUAACUUCAGGAAACUGGGGCUAAUACCGGCUAGGAGCUCCUGCUGCAUGGUGGGGGUUGGAAAGUUUCGGCGGUUGGGGAUGGACUCGCGGCUUAUCAGCUUGUUGGUGGGGUAGUGGCUUACCAAGGCUUUGACGGGUAGCCGGCCUGAGAGGGUGACCGGCCACAGUGGGACUGAGAUACGGCCCAGACUCCUACGGGAGGCAGCAGUGGGGAAUAUUGCACAAUGGGCGGAAGCCUGAUGCAGCAACGCCGCGUGCGGGAUGACGGCCUUCGGGUUGGAAACCGCUUUCGCCUGUGACGAAGCGUGAGUGACGGUAAUGGGUAAAGAAGCACCGGCUAACUACGUG